GAUGAAGAACGCAGCGAAAUGCGAUAAGUAAUGUGAAUUGCAGAAUUCAGUGAAUCAUCGAAUCUUUGAACGCACAUUGCGCCCGCCAGCAUUCUGGCGGGCAUGCCUGUUCGAGCGUCAUUUCAACCCUCGAGCCCCCCCGGGGGCCUCGGUGUUGGGGGACGGCACACCAGCCGCCCCCGAAAUGCAGUGGCGACCCCGCCGCAGCCUCCCCUGCGUAGUAGCACACACCUCGCACCGGAGCGCGGAGGCGGUCACGCCGUAAAACGCCCAACUUUCUUAGAGUUGACCUCGGAUCAGGUAGGAAUACCCGCUGAAGUUAAGCAUAUCAAUAAGCGGAGGA
RNAcentral lists this unclassified non-coding RNA (343 nucleotides) under soil metagenome. RNAcentral describes it as "partial contains 5.8S ribosomal RNA, internal transcribed spacer 2, and large subunit ribosomal RNA". The stretch from base 1 to 120 matches the Rfam family "5.8S ribosomal RNA", at positions 35 to 154 of the family's 154-position model. The record is from RNAcentral.